CCUACGGGUGGCAGCAGUGAGGAAUCUUGGUCAAUGGGCGCGAGCCUGAACCAGCCAAGUCGCGUGAGGGAAGACGGUCCUAUGGAUUGUAAACCUCUUUUGUCGGGGAGCAAAAGACGCCACGCGUGGCGUUCCGAGAGUACCCGAAGAAACAGCAUCGGCUAACCCCGUGACAGCAGCCGCGGUAAUACGGAGUCUGCGAGCGUGAUCCGGAUGUAUUGGGGUAAAAGGGUGCGCAGACGGAAGAUCAAGUCAGCGGUAAAAUUGAGAGGUUCAACCUCUUCGAGCAGUUGAAACUGGUUUUCUUGAGUGAGUGAGAGGUAUGCGGAAUGCGUGGUGUAGCGGUGAAAUGCAUAGAUAUCACGAAGAACUCCGAUUGCGAAGGCAGCAUACCGGCGCUCAACUGACGCUCAUGCACGAAGGUGUGGGUAUCGAACAGGAUUAGAUACCCGGGUAGUC
This 459-nucleotide ribosomal RNA is filed under the name uncultured bacterium. Its description in RNAcentral is "partial 16S ribosomal RNA". It matches the Rfam family "Bacterial small subunit ribosomal RNA", at positions 338 to 795 of the family's 1533-position model. The record is from RNAcentral.